RNAcentral lists this Y RNA (96 nucleotides) under Propithecus coquereli (Coquerel's sifaka). Its description in RNAcentral is "Y RNA (ENSPCOG00000010469.1)". It matches the Rfam family "Y RNA". Rfam says of the family: Y RNAs are components of the Ro ribonucleoprotein particle (Ro RNP), in association with Ro60 and La proteins. Lineage: Eukaryota; Metazoa; Chordata; Mammalia; Primates; Indriidae. The record is from Rfam by way of RNAcentral.
GGCUGGUCCGAUGGUAAUGAGUUAUCAGAACUUACUAACCUCAGUGUUGCUAAAGUUGGUAUACAACCCCCUACUGCUAAAUUUGACUGGCUUUAA